This 1011-nucleotide ribosomal RNA is filed under the name Burkholderia vietnamiensis. RNAcentral describes it as "bacterial SSU rRNA". It matches the Rfam family "Bacterial small subunit ribosomal RNA", at positions 24 to 1033 of the family's 1533-position model. The record is from RNAcentral. Lineage: Bacteria; Pseudomonadati; Pseudomonadota; Betaproteobacteria; Burkholderiales; Burkholderiaceae.
UCAGAUUGACGCGGCGGCAUGCUUACACUGCAAGUCGAACGGCAGCACGGGUGCUUGCACUGGUGGCGAGUGGCGAACGGGUGAGUAAUACAUCGGAACAUGUCCUGUAGUGGGGGAUAGCCCGGCGAAAGCCGGAUUAAUACCGCAUACGAUCUAUGGAUGAAAGCGGGGGACUUCCGGGCCUCGCGCUAUAGGGUUGGCCGAUGGCUGAUAGCUAGUUGGUGGGGUAAAGGCCUACCAAGGCGACGAUCAGUAGCUGGUCUGAGAGGACGACCAGCCACACUGGGACUGAGACACGGCCCAGACUCCUACGGGAGGCAGCAGUGGGGAAUUUUGGACAAUGGGCGAAAGCCUGAUCCAGCAAUGCCGCGUGUGUGAAGAAGGCCUUCGGGUUGUAAAGCACUUUUGUCCGGAAAGAAAUCCUUGGCUCUAAUACAGUCGGGGGAUGACGGUACCGGAAGAAUAAGCACCGGCUAACUACGUGCCAGCAGCCGCGGUAAUACGUAGGGUGCAAGCGUUAAUCGGAAUUACUGGGCGUAAAGCGUGCGCAGGCGGUUUGCUAAGACCGAUGUGAAAUCCCCGGGCUCAACCUGGGAACUGCAUUGGUGACUGGCAGGCUAGAGUAUGGCAGAGGGGGGUAGAAUUCCACGUGUAGCAGUGAAAUGCGUAGAGAUGUGGAGGAAUACCGAUGGCGAAGGCAGCCCCCUGGGCCAAUACUGACGCUCAUGCACGAAAGCGUGGGGAGCAAACAGGAUUAGAUACCCUGGUAGUCCACGCCCUAAACGAUGUCAACUAGUUGUUGGGGAUUCAUUUCCUUAGUAACGUAGCUAACGCGUGAAGUUGACCGCCUGGGGAGUACGGUCGCAAGAUUAAAACUCAAAGGAAUUGACGGGGACCCGCACAAGCGGUGGAUGAUGUGGAUUAAUUCGAUGCAACGCGAAAAACCUUACCUACCCUUGACAUGGUCGGAAUCCUGAAGAGAUUCGGGAGUGCUCGAAAGAGAACCGGCGC